Molecule: ribosomal RNA, 374 nt
Filed under: uncultured organism
Description: partial 16S ribosomal RNA
Rfam family: Bacterial small subunit ribosomal RNA
Source: RNAcentral
GUAGGUGGCAAGCGUUGUCCGGAAUUAUUGGGCGUAAAGCGCGCGCAGGCGGUUCUUUAAGUCUGAUGUGAAAGCCCACGGCUCAACCGUGGAGGGUCAUUGGAAACUGGAGAACUUGAGUACAGAAGAGGAAAGCGGAAUUCCACGUGUAGCGGUGAAAUGCGUAGAGAUGUGGAGGAACACCAGUGGCGAAGGCGGCUUUCUGGUCUGUAACUGACGCUGAGGCGCGAAAGCGUGGGGAGCAAACAGGGAUUAGAUACCCUGGUAGUCCACGCCGUAAACGAUGAGUGCUAAGUGUUAGGGGGUUUCCGCCCCCUUAGUGCUGCAGCUAACGCAUUAAGCACUCCGCCUGGGGAGUACGGCCGCAAGGCUGA